RNAcentral lists this ribosomal RNA (372 nucleotides) under uncultured bacterium. RNAcentral's name for it is "partial 16S ribosomal RNA". It matches the Rfam family "Bacterial small subunit ribosomal RNA", at positions 335 to 698 of the family's 1533-position model. The record is from RNAcentral.
UCUUCAUGGGAGGGGCACACUGGGGAAUAUUUUACAAAGGGGGCAAACGUGAUCUAUACACAACGCGUGUGAGCAGAAAACCCCUUGGUUGUAAAACCCUUUAAGGCCGGAGGAGACUCAAGUUGUUUUAACCUGGAGGGUUAAGGCGUUUCCCGCAGAAUAAGCCCCGGUUAAUUUUGGUCCAGCAGCCGGGGUAAUUCGGAGGGGGCCAGGGUUUUUUGGAAUUACUGGGGUUAAAGGGGUGUUAGGGGGCUUUUUAAUUUCGGGGGGAAAACCCCGGGUUUAACUUUGGAAUUCCCUUUAAAACUGCCAAGCUUGGAUCUGGGAGGGGGUGGUGGAAUUCCCGGGGUAGGGGUGAAAUUGGUAGGAUUU